CUCCGGAGUUGGGGCACCGAUCGUUGGCGACUCAGGCUCCUCCAUGGGAGCAGUACCCUGAGUCGCCAACAAUCGGUGCCUCAACUCGGAGACCU
This 95-nucleotide non-coding RNA is filed under the name Chrysemys picta bellii (western painted turtle). RNAcentral also lists the same sequence under 1 other name. Lineage: Eukaryota; Metazoa; Chordata; Testudines; Emydidae. The record is from RNAcentral.